This is a non-coding RNA of Lyngbya majuscula, 79 nucleotides long. The record is from Rfam. Lineage: Bacteria; Bacillati; Cyanobacteriota; Cyanophyceae; Oscillatoriales; Microcoleaceae.
AGGAGCCGUGUGAGAUGAAAGUCUCACGCACGGCUUUGAAGGAGAGGUGCUCCGGAUAAUACCGGACAUCGACUCUAAU